AUUGAACGCUGGCGGCAGGCUUAACACAUGCAAGUCGAGCGGAGUGAUGGUGCUUGCACUAUCACUUAGCGGCGGACGGGUGAGUAAUGCUUAGGAAUCUGCCUAUUAGUGGGGGACGACAUCUCGAAAGGGAUGCUAAUACCGCAUACGUCCUACGGGAGAAAGCAGGGGAUCACUUGUGACCUUGCGCUAAUAGAUGAGCCUAAGUCGGAUCAGCUAGUUGGUGGGGUAAAGGCCUACCAAGGCGACGAUCUGUAGCGGGUCUGAGAGGCGGAUCCGCCACACUGGGACUGAGAGACGGCCCAGACUCCUACGGGAGGCAGCAGUGGGGAAUAUUGGACAAUGGGGGGAACCCUGAUCCAGCCAUGCCGCGUGUGUGAAGAAGGCCUUAUGGUUGUAAAGCACUUUAAGCGUGGAGGAGGCUCUUUUGGUUAAUACCCAAGAUGAGUGGACGUUACUCGCAGAAUAAGCACCGGCUAACUCUGUGCCAGCAGCCGCCGUAA
Molecule: ribosomal RNA, 503 nt
Filed under: uncultured bacterium
Lineage: Bacteria
Description: partial 16S ribosomal RNA
Rfam family: Bacterial small subunit ribosomal RNA
Source: RNAcentral